GGGAAGGGGCGGCGUGCUAUACAUGCAGUCGAGCGCAGGAAUCAUCCGAACCCUUCGGGGGGACGUUGAUGGAAUGAGCGGCGGACGGGUGAGUAACACGUAAAGAACCUGCCCUCAGGUCUGGGAUAACCACGAGAAAUCGGGGCUAAUACCGGAUGGGUCAUCGGACCGCAUGGUCCGAGGAUGAAAGGCGCUUCGGCGUCGCCUGGGGAUGGCUUUGCGGUGCAUUAGCUAGUUGGUGGGGUAAUGGCCCACCAAGGCGACGAUGCAUAGCCGACCUGAGAGGGUGAUCGGCCACACUGGGACUGAGACACGGCCCAGACUCCUACGGGAGGCAGCAGUAGGGAAUCUUCCACAAUGGACGAAAGUCUGAUGGAGCAACGCCGCGUGAACGAUGAAGGCCUUCGGGUCGUAAAGUUCUGUUGUAAGGGAAGAACAAGUGCCGCAGGCAAUGGCGGCACCUUGACGGUACCUUGCGAGAAAGCCACGGCUAACUACGUGCCAGCAGCCGCGGUAAUACGUAGGUGGCAAGCGUUGUCCGGAAUUAUUGGGCGUAAAGCGCGCGCAGGCGGCCUCUUAAGUCUGAUGUGAAAGCCCCCGGCUCAACCGGGGAGGGCCAUUGGAAAACUGGGAGGCUUGAGUAUAGGAGAAGAAGAGUGGAAUUCCACGUGUAGCGGUGAAAUGCGUAGAGAUGUGGAGGACACCAGUGGCGAAGGCGACUCUUUUGGCCCUAUACUGACGCUGAGCGCGAAGCGGUGGGGGAGCAAACAGGAUUAGAUACCCUGGUAGUCCACGCCGUAAACGAUGAGUGCUAGUGUUUGGGAGGGUUUCCCGCCCUUCAAUGCUGAGCUACGCAUUGAGCACUCCCGCCUGGGGGGAGGUACGGGUUCGCAGCUGAAUCCUCAAGGGACUGAACGGACCCGUCACAAGCGGUGAUCCAUGGUGAUUAUUCAGCAACGCGAGAGCCUACCAGCUCUGGACAUCCCCUGACCGUACGAAUGUACCGUCCAUUUCGGCAUGUGUGACGGUGUGCCAUGCUUGUGCA
This 1045-nucleotide ribosomal RNA is filed under the name Exiguobacterium sp. RNAcentral's name for it is "bacterial SSU rRNA". It matches the Rfam family "Bacterial small subunit ribosomal RNA", at positions 29 to 1055 of the family's 1533-position model. Lineage: Bacteria; Bacillati; Bacillota; Bacilli; Caryophanales. The record is from RNAcentral.